Non-coding RNA from Marmota monax (woodchuck), 539 nucleotides. The record is from the annotation of a RefSeq genome assembly. Lineage: Eukaryota; Metazoa; Chordata; Mammalia; Rodentia; Sciuridae.
CCAAGCUGGCCUGAUUUGCAUAACAGGCAGCUGUCCCCAACAAGGAAAUAAAAGAGGCCUGGGGGGAACACAGGCCAGCCUGGGACUCAAGAAGCAGCUACAGGGACACCAUGACUUGGAAGGCUCUUCUCCUCAGCCUCCUGGCUCAUUACACAGGCUCUGUAGCCACUUAUGUGCUGACUCAGCCAUCGUCAGUAUCAGUGACCCCUGGACAAGUGGCCAGAAUCACCUGUGAAGGCAAUAAUAUUGGCAGCUAUAGUGUGUACUGGUAUCAGCAGAAGCCAGCACAGUCCCCGCUGCUCAUCAUCUACAAUGAUAAUAACCGGCCCUCAGGGAUCCCUGACCGAUUCACUGGCUCCAACUCUGGGAACACAGCCACCCUGACCAUCAGUGGGACCCAAGCUGGAGAUGAGGCUGACUAUUACUGUCAGGUGUGGGAUGGCAAUGAUGCUCACAGUGACUCGAGCAGACAGGGAAGUGAGACAAAAACCUACCAUCAGCUUGGCACCAAAGACCUCUUCCUGCCCUGGUUACCCUGA